GCCAGGCGUGGUGGCGGGCACCUGUAAUCCCAGCUACUUGGGAGGCUGAGGCAGGAGAAUCGCUUGAACCUGGGAGACGGAGUGCAGUGAGCUGAGAUCGCACCACUGCACUCCAGCCCAGGUGACAGAGCAAGACUCCGUCUCAA
This is an unclassified non-coding RNA of Pongo abelii (Sumatran orangutan), 146 nucleotides long. It matches the Rfam family "Metazoan signal recognition particle RNA". Rfam says of the family: The signal recognition particle (SRP) is a universally conserved ribonucleoprotein. It is involved in the co-translational targeting of proteins to membranes. The eukaryotic SRP consists of a 300-nucleotide 7S RNA and six proteins: SRPs 72, 68, 54, 19, 14, and 9. The record is from Ensembl. NCBI's taxonomy places the organism in Eukaryota, Metazoa, Chordata, Mammalia, Primates, Hominidae.